Molecule: small nucleolar RNA, 132 nt
Organism: Jaculus jaculus (lesser Egyptian jerboa)
Lineage: Eukaryota; Metazoa; Chordata; Mammalia; Rodentia; Dipodidae
Source: Ensembl
AAGCCAACCAAUUAAUCUGCUCAUCUGAAUGGGUUUCUGCAGAAACUUAGAACAGAGCUGGCAAUAGUGAUACCAUUUUAUGAGCCUUAAGGACAGCUGAGGUCAUUUUGGUCCCUCGAAAUGACUACAACA